UGUUAAUGUAGUCACUUUAAUACAUAUUAUGUGUCACUUUUAUGCAAUAUUAUCACAUUAAUCAUACUAUAUUUACUAUAAUGUUAAUAUAAGCUUGGUUAAUGUUAAUAUAAGUUUGAUUGUGGUGAUAUUUGUGAGUGAGAGGUAAAAUAGGAUUAACAUUGACUAUAUUAGCAUAAUACAUUACUUAAAAGUAUUAUAUUAAUACAGCACCUGUUCUCAUUGGGUCGAAGAAGUUGUCCGUAAGAAUAUCAAAGCCUGAAAAACUUAUCAACAUUACUCACACUUCUGUUGGCCUUAAUGGUAUCCAUCUUUCUUUCUCUUAGGUCACAUGAUCUAGUUCUUUGUUCUUAUUUAUGAUGUGGGUUAUUGCUUAUUUUGCUGGAAUUGGUUCUCAUGUAAAAAUCCCAUUUUGACUAUUUUUCCAAUGAUUUUUGCUUUGUCUGUGAAGCGAGUAACAGGGGAAGAUGGAAAACUUGAAUGGGAACUGAAGUGGAAACUGGAAAGGUUAACGUCCAGCGAAAGAGCAGCAUUAAGUGAGUUUCACAAUUCUCCAAGGCCUUCAGUUUUCGGUAUCCUUUAAUUCUUUGGCUGGUAUCUUUCUUUGUUUAUUUAUGUUUAGUCCAUUUCUCAUGUUUAUUUUUUUAGGUGUUUAUUAUGGUGCAUUUGAAUUUUGGGAUUUGGGUUUUGUUUAUUUAUGCAAUUAGACUGAAAUUGUGUUGAUGGGUAUUGUUGGAUUUCCGUUUAGAGGGGAAAAAAAUGGAAUUUAUUUGUGCACUUUGAUCCAAAAGUGGUCACUAUACUCAGAUAGUUGAAUCUGGUUCCCUGUUGGAUUUCUUGAUUAUCCAUGUUUAAUAUAGUGCAAUUAUGAUGUAUGAGAGGUUAAGGUGAAUGAAUAUUCUUUGUGCCCUAUCUCUCAAUCUCUCGUCCAUUGAAGCAUACUCUGAAUUCUUUUUUGAAAUGGCUUGUGACUUUGUGAGCUUUCUCUCCUCUAUUAAAGGAGCUUUUGAGGCGAAAUUUCUUUCUUAAUCAGCAAAUUAGUUUCAUAAUCUAGGGUUUAUUGUUGGUUAAUACCAAGAAUGAGGCAGGGAGAGGUCAUGUGAGUUUCUCGAGGAUUGUUUUUCCCCUCUCCUUAGAUGACCAUUGGUUAUGGUGGUUUGUCCAGACACUAUUAAAAUGGUCCUCAAACCAUCGGAUGCCAGAACCUUUGCUCCUUAGCUGCUUUAUCUGUCUCUGUGAGCUGUGACUGUAACUUUGCUGACUGCAUGCUCCUUGAUCUUCUAACGACAAAAUCACCAGCCGUUAAAAGAUGUGAUGAGUGUACACCAUUCAAAGCAGUCAAAUUUAAUCUGGGUUUGGAGAAUUUUUUGAGGUUUUGGGUAAUUUUUUCCAUUUGGCUUGGCAGAAAGAUCAACUUUUGUUUUCUUUUAUACAAAGUAUUAUUUUUAUUUUGUGAUUUGGUUCGGUUGGAAUUUGGAAAUUAUUUGGCCUAUUUUGAUUGAUUGCUGCCAUGGUUGAUUUUACCACCUCGAAAUUCUCCACCAGAUUGUUUGAUGAAAUGUGGAUCUAAGCCUAUUGUUAAAAAAAAAAAAAAAGGAAGUUGCAUUGUUGAAUUUUAGUCUAAUAUAUAUAGGAAUAAUUUCUACAUUUUUUUAAAUGUGUGUUCGUUUAGAAGGUUCCUGGAACUUGGCGUUGGCUGCUUGGAGUAUCAAGAGUCCCUGUUGUCUUGCAGUUUCUCUUUAUGCUUCUUUUUCCAGAAUCCCCCUGCUGGCUAUAUAUGAAGGGCGAAAGAGGAAGAAACCGAGAAGAAUAAAUGAAGGGUUGUGACUUGUGAGCAAGCUCAACUCCGUCGAUUCAAGGAGGAGACUAAACGUUGUGCUUUGAUUCAUAAGGGUUUCCGCAGUCCAAUUCUGGAAUUUCGGAUUUCGAGGGUGGAAUUUCCUACUCUGAGUUCUCCAUUGAAGCAAUUGAUUAGCGAAAAAAAUGGGUCAGAUCCAGUACUAUGAGAAACACUUUGAUGAUACUUUUGAUAUCAGAUUUGAGUUACAAGGAUGAUGGACAAGAAAUCAUCGAAAUUGCCAUCAGCAUCAGAAUGGUCACUCUUCUCCUUUUAAAUUGGCAAGUUGUUUGAUCCUGAUGUUUCUUGGGAUAAGGUUAACUUUCUUGUCUUUGAGAUUAUUUCUCCUUUUAAAUUUCUUUUAUCCUUAGAAAAAAUAUUAUUGAAUUCAUAUUGAUGCUCUACAACUGGGUUUGUUAGUUAAGUUUGAGAUCAAUAUGAUUGAUUUAGGAUUAUGUAGAAGAUUGUAGUCCAUCUUUAUUAGUGGGAUUAUUGAAGUUUUCGCCAAUUUUCCACAUUAAUGAGAUUUAUUGCAAGGUAUAAUUGAUUUUAACUGGUGAGGGAAUGACUUCAACUAGAGGGGGUGAACUAAUGUUAGGGUGAAAGGGCAAGAUAGAGGAUAACAUGUAGAGAGGAGGGAGAAAAUAUGUAGAGUACUUCAAAAGACCAUUAUAGUGUGAGGUAAAGAUAUGCACUUUCACCGGUCCAUAGGCUCCAUACUUAUGUUGGAAGCUUGGAAUGUCGAGUGUUACAUGGAUACUCAAGUAGGGGUGAAAGUUCGGUUUGCGGUUUGUAUUAUGGCCAAAACCGAAUCCAAUUCGAAUUAAUUCGGUUUUGGAUUUCUCUAACCGAAUCUAAACCAAAUUAAGAUUUGGUCCAAUCCAAACCGAACCUAACCAAAUUAAUUCGGUUUUUAUAAUUAGAUUCCAAUCCAAACCGAAAUUUGUUCCCUCCUUUUGCAACAUUCGAUCUCGAAACCCGAACUUCACCCAGAAAAUUCCUGCAAUUAUUUAACUUUUUCUCGUUGAGUACAUUUGUAUGACUCCAUUUCCCAUUUCCACCACCACUCAAUCUUUCAUCAACCUUCCUUUAUCUCUCAUCAAUGGCAAUUGAUCUGAUCACAACAUGUUUCUCUCUCCUAAAUUUGGGUUUCUUUUCAUUUUUGCUUGGUUUGAAAUCAACAAUUCGAUGUCUACAUGUAUUUUCUCUUUGGCUAUCUUUUGAUUAUUUCUUGGUUAAUAAUCUUUAAUUUCUGGGUUGGAUUUUUCUUAUUUUCUGGAAUUUUAAUUAGAUUAACGAAGAAAAUGUGUCAGAUCCAGUACUCUGAGAAGCACUUUGAUGAUACUUAUGAAUUCAGCCAUUGUUCCCCGGUGAGAAUGCAUUUGGAUCAACUUGCGGUGAUUAUCAAGGCCAGAAUCUAGCAUUCAUGUUGAAAUUGCCACAAACUCAAGUUAUGCAAUGAUUACAAAAUUAAUUGAUUAUGUCCAUAUAUUUUCAGGUUCUUGGUACUCCUACUAGAGAGGAAAUUCGAUGAUGAAUCCAAACUAUACUGAUUUUAGGUUUCCACAGAUUAAAGCUCACCCUUGGCACAAGGUUAUUCCUAAAUGAAUGCCUCCUGAAGCCAUCAAUCUUGCUUCAGGACACUUCAGUAUUCACCCAAUCUUUGUUGCACUGCACUUGCAGUUGGAGGCAUGUGUUCAUCCUUUUUUUGAUGAGCUUCUUGAUCCCAAUACUUGCCUUCCAAACGGUCGCCCACUGCCACCUCUUUUCAAUUUCAAGCAAGAAGUAAGAUGUAUAUACUAAGGAGGGUUUCAAUGGUAGCUAUCAGGGCCGCUUUGAAGCUCCAACAUGGCGGUGUCAAGGUCUAUUAGUGGGACCUUGACAAUGAAUGAAAGAAGCAUGGGAACUACGGGUAACUGACGAGGUGCAAGGUUGUGGAAUGACUUCUGAGGCAUUGAAGUAUGAAUGAUCUCUUAGGUUCUUACACUCCUUGAUUAUUCUAUGUAUUUGGAUGGCCGAUUGGAUGCGUUGGAAGGAACUCAUUAAAUCAUCUUUGCAGAAUUUGGUGCUGUCGCUCUCUAUGAUGUUCUUUAGAAAAGGGCAGGGAUUGGCAAGUAGUACAAGGAAAAAUAUAUUUUUGAAAGCCUUACAAAGAAGAGUGGGUUGAAGAAAGAAAGAAGGGGGGAAGUAACAAGAGGGGGAUGAAUGAAAGAUGGGAUAGUGGUAGAGACCAAUUUUAACACCUUUAGGAUACUUUUAACAUUCGCAAAGCCUGAAAAGACGAGUUUGAGGAUGAUGGAGGAAGAAGAGGGCGAGCAUAUAAGGUCACCGUUUUUAAAGUGUAGUCGAGGAAGAGAUAGGGAGCAUUUUUAGAGAGAGAGAGAGUGAAAGGGAGGGGAGUAAGUACAACCUAUAAUUUUCAAAGCCAUUUAAAGGAGGGAACAUGGAGAAGAAGGAUUUGGCAUUUUAUUGGGUAACAUGGUACAAAUCAAAGUUGGGUUGAGUAUAAUUCGUGUUGAGAUCAAUUAGAAUUUUCAGAAAUUAGUUUAGAUCGAUGAAGUCGAUUGGAACAACCAAAUUUACUUUAAAUUGCUAAAGAUUAGUUAUGAUCAAUUGAAUUUAGUUUUACAGUUUGGUACGAAUCAGAGUUGGCUUGAGUAAAAGUAUGUAGAAGAGAACAAGACCUAUUGUGUGAAGCUGAUGCUGCCCCGUUGCUUCUGUUUUGAUUUAAUUCUGCAUAUUAUGCAUGCCCCAUCAAGUCAGCCAACUUCAUUUUAAUAAUCACGUUAACAACAGUAACCUGUUAGGGUUACCUUUGGGCUCUUGUAAUUUGUCCUUGUUAGUUUGGUCUAGGGCGGUGUUGUGGGUUGGUGUUUUGGGUAAACAGCCGCAUAAGAACAGGGAUUCAGUGGGCUAAAUGUAAGAUCUUUGAGAAGUCUCAAACAAAUAAUUAUGAAACUACCCAUUUUGCUUUUAAAUUUGCGAUUUAUACUGGUUGGAUUAUAAAUGCACUCUUUUUACCAAAAAAAAAAAAAAAAAAAAACUUCAUACUCUUUGUGAUGCUGAAAUUGGCCUUAUUGUCUUUUCGUCUACUGGGAAGCUCUUUGAAUAAUCCAAUUCAAGGUCCCUCUUUCUUUCUGUCUUCUUAUUUAAACAUUAUUCUUGGUUUUUUUGCUCCUUUAGGUCUUGAUCUUAUGAAUAGUGACUAAGAUUGAGUGAUUACCUUGUGAUUUUUUAUACUAUAUCUUAGAAUUAAGUAUUUUGAAGUUAUUUUUCUGAUAGAUCCAAUCUUUGGUUAGUAAAUUUGUUGGUGUUUGCUAAUUGAUUUCAGAGAUCUUGCUUGCUACACCUGCAAUUAGGCCUAAAAAAAUAUAGCUUAUGAAACAGUUGUGUCUGAACCACCAAGAUAAUAAUCAUAAAUUAUUAGAGGGGGGAAGCUUUUUCAGCUUAUUGAUAUUCUUCUGAGAAGUUAAAUUGGCGGAUAUGAUCAACAUGGAGCAGUGUAUGUAUUUGUUUAAUAAUUAGAAGAGUUGACCUUUAAAGUGGUUGUUAGCUCUUUGUUUACCUUUCCAGUGUGAUUCCUUUUACCGGUCCUUGGAUUUGCUCUUGAUUUGCAUUUGCUUGCCAUGUUAUUCAAAAUUCCUGUAGCUGCAUUUGCUGUCAGUUUAGCUUGCAAAUGUUUGUUGAAGCCGAAUGUUCAACUAAUGCCUGUAUGUUAGCUGAUUGAAAUUAUAUAUACCUGCAUGACCUAUGAAGAUUAAUUGAUAAAUUCUAUAUUAAUUAUGGGCUAAAUAUCUGUGCAAUUUUGAGGUCAUUAAGGAACUUCAAUGAUGUUAACAUCGAUUCGUUGUGGAAGUUGAUUUUCCGCUCUGUACAUCUUCAUUCUGUAGUACUUUUAUUUCAGUUUUAAUAUAAAGAUACCAUGUCAUGUUACAUUGAUAUGCUUUCCUUGUGAUACUUUCAUCAAGUGGGAUUGUGGGUUUUCGGAGGAGCUUUGCAAAUUGAUGCAGUCACUGCUGCAAUUCUUGGAUUAUGUUUGCAGCUCAUUACUGGUGUUGUCACCUAGAAAGAAUGCUUAUUUGAGUCAGUUGCUUGGGAUACCCUUACAUAGUUUGCUGCACUUAUUGCCAUGGCUGGUUAUCUCAACAAGUAUGGGCUCAUUUCCUGGUUCAGGGAAACCAUGGUCAAGGUCUGUGUUCUUUCCUCUUCCCCUGAAUAUUUUUCCUCUUUUUCCUUUUGAUGGUAAAAAAUAUGUAAGUAAUAACCAUCCUUAAUUAGCAGAAUUUAAAGUGUCUACAUUCCUAGUAAGUUCAUCAUUAUUUACCAACUGGAUUUUGUGAUAUGUAUUGCACAUGAGUUUGGAAUCAUUGUCUUUAACUUUACUAAGUUCAGAAAAAUAUAUGCUUGGUAAGUUAAUCAUUCUUUAUAUGAUUCUGCCAAUCCUUUUACUAAGUUCAGCAAAAUAUAUGUUGAUUAGCAUUAACUUAACUAAGCCAUUUGGAAAUGACAUUUGUCUGCAAUAUGUUUUUACAACUGACUGCCUUCCUUUAAGCCCGUUUUUGUUUCCUUUCUGUUUGGGAAGUUACUAGGAAUGGAUUCAAUUGGAGGAGAGGCGGUAGCAGUAGGUCCUGGAUUAACUAGUAGAAAGGUGGGUGAUCUUGUUGCUUAUGCUGGUAGCCCGAUGGGUUCUAUGCAGAGGAGCAAAUCUAAAUCUGGACUCAGUAUUUAUGUCAGAAAAUUAAAGCUAAUUUAAACAGAUAUUUUGAAUUAAUUUUAACUGUUAUAAUUAGUUCCUGAAUUUCCCUGAUGCAAUUUGAGUAUGUUGGUUUUGCUCAAUUCUCAUCUCUCUUCCUUUUUUUUUUCCUGUUUGGAUUUGUAAGUGCAGCGGAGCAGAUUGAAUAUCUUUGGCUCUUAGUUUACCACUUAGAAUCAAUGAUCUCGCUUCAACUUUAGAUCAUCACUUGUGUCUUUUUUUCUUUCUUCUUUUUUUUUUUUUUUUUUUUUUUUUUUUUUUUUUUUUUUUUUUUUUUGUGCCUGAAGUCAAUUAGUAUCAUAAUUUUCUUCAUACACAUAGUGAUUUCAUUUCUGCCAUUCUCCCUGUUUCAGAUGUGCAUAUCCAGAGCUCAGCCAUAUAUUGGUAUGUAAUAUCAAAAUUUUCUGUCAGUAAUACUUGUAUUCUUUUACCUAUAAAUUUUGGCCAACUUGGGGGACCACAUGUAUACUCUUAGGCUGAAGCCAAUGUUCUUAGAUGAUGUGCGGAUAGCCGGUUCCAAUUAUAUUUGUUGCAGACUGAAAUGCUAUAAAAAUUGUCAGAACGUUUAAAGAUCGGCAUGUAAAACUCAAAAGUAAAUUUGAAACCAUAAAAAAAAAAAAAAAAAAAAAAAAAAAGUGAUUGGCAAUGAAGACUAAUUAAGGGUGAGGGAGCCAGUAAUAUAAGACUUAUUAUUAAUUUUAAAAUCCAUAAAACAAGUGUGAGUUGGAGUGAAGAAUAAGUAUCCAAAGGAGGGAAGGAAGAGGAUGAGGGACAGAUUGUUUAUUUAAUUUGCUAUAAAUUGUACAUUUGUAAUGUAUAAGUGAAGAAAGACAUAGCAAGGGGGAGGAAGAAAGAAGGUGAGGUUGAAGAUGAGAAAGAAAGAGAGAUACAAGACAAAAAUGAGAAAGAAUCAAGAACUUUUAAAAGACGGUUUUCAAAAUGUAUUUUGUUUAAUAAUAAGACAUAAAUAUAAUAAGUUAGGAAUAGACUUUAAAUUUCACAUAAAUAUAUGGAAAAUGGAAGGGUAGGAGAAGGAGGAAGUAGCAGAUGGGACUACGGUUACUAUAUUUUAUAACCAGAUUAAAAGAGGAAUCUGGAACAAGAGUAAGAAGUUGGAAGAUGAGAUGAUAAAGAAAAAGACAGGAUGAAGCCAAAGAAGAGGGAGCAAAGAUACAGCAUUUCUAAAAGACUAUUAUAGAUUAUAAUUGUCUAAUACUACUACUACAACAAAGUCUCGGUUGACGGUUGGUAUUUUCUUUAUCCAAAAAAUACUCAAAGAAUGAAACCACAUAUUCGAAAAUCAAACAAUAAGCCAAAAUAAAGGGGCAAACAAACAGUCCCAGGAAAAAAAAUACCUAACAAUAAGUAAAUGCUAUGAUCUUGAUUCUUUUUAUAGCUUCUUUAUGUGUAUUUUUGGAAAAUGGCAAUGAACCUAAAAACUCUUUUUUAUAAUCCUUUUGGAAAUUAGGUUUUAUCUUAACUUUCAAAUAAACCUUUUGGGAGUUGAGUAAUAUUCCAUAUCCACUCUUUCCAAGCUGUCCAAGCAUAUCCUUUUGGAAAUUAGUUGUUUCAAUUACUUGUUGACAAGUCGUGUAAAUUGAGUAAUGUAAACUAUUUAUCUAUCCAAUCAGAACUUAUAUUUACUCCAGUAGAAAGUGCAAAGGACAAAGGGCAAAGAUCAAGUCCAAGAUCAGUAAAAGAUUACAACAGAACGAAUGAAGGAAGUAUAAGUAUUGCUUGACAACGGAAAUGUUUUCUUGAAAUGCGGAAGCAAAUAGUUCUUCAGAAGGCUAAUACUUUUCUUUAUCUUAAAAUCAGAAAAUUUGUAUUAACUUUGAAUUCUACUUGUAAAGGCCCUCUUAGUUACAUUAAAUGUAACAAGCAAGAUAAAUCUUACAGGCAUAGGUUGGGUUCAAUUUUAUAAAUUUUGGGUCGGGUUAAUUUUGGCUUAAACUUAUGUCGAGUCAGGUUUUGAGCAGGUGUAUGACGGGUUGGGUUCGGGUUAUUUUUGGGUUAUAUUUGAUUAAUAUCAGGUUAGAUAAAGUUGGACCUAAAUAAUUACGCUUUUCAUAAUAUGGCCAAACAUCAUUAAGAAUACCUUCUACCUGUAAACUUAUACUCUGUAUGAAUUUAUUCUCUUGCCUUCUACCUUCA
Chenopodium quinoa (quinoa) is the source of this 8744-nucleotide long non-coding RNA. RefSeq lists it as uncharacterized. The record is from RefSeq and is a predicted model, not a curated record. Lineage: Eukaryota; Viridiplantae; Streptophyta; Magnoliopsida; Caryophyllales; Amaranthaceae. The transcript is spliced from 10 exons.